GCUCCCUUCCUCCUCCCCUUGGCUACGACCCCAACACACACACAUAUCCAUCCUUUUCAAUCCAUUACCAAGCAUUCCAAGGUGAUAUUAAGGUGUAAGGAGGCCACUAACGAAGCUCGGUGCAAGCGGAUCUUGAGGGACCUUCUCCAUUUGCUUUUAUCCACCACUUUUACCCUUUGAAACUUCCCUAGUCUUGUGCUAGUAGCUCGUUUUGUCAAGUCUGAUGGUCACGGCGGGUUAAUUAAAGCAAAUCCGGUGAAGUUUACGACGCAAGGAACACAAAGUUGUAACUAAAGGUGGAUGUGCGCGCG
This 311-nucleotide long non-coding RNA is filed under the name Helianthus annuus (common sunflower). Its description in RNAcentral is "sRNA HanXRQr2_Chr05g0193091". Lineage: Eukaryota; Viridiplantae; Streptophyta; Magnoliopsida; Asterales; Asteraceae. The record is from RNAcentral.